This 460-nucleotide ribosomal RNA is filed under the name uncultured bacterium. Its description in RNAcentral is "partial 16S ribosomal RNA". It matches the Rfam family "Bacterial small subunit ribosomal RNA", at positions 338 to 795 of the family's 1533-position model. The record is from RNAcentral.
CCUACGGGAGGCAGCAGUGAGGAAUAUUGGUCAAUGGGCGGAAGCCUGAACCAGCCAAGUAGCGUGAAGGAUGACGGCCCUACGGGUUGUAAACUGCUUUUAUACGGGAAUAACGCGCCUUACGUGUAGGGCUUUGCAUGUACCGUAUGAAUAAGGACCGGCUAAUUCCGUGCCAGCAGCCGCGGUAAUACGGAAGGUCCGGGCGUUAUCCGGAUUUAUUGGGUUUAAAGGGAGCGUAGGCGGCAUGUCAAGCGUGCUGUGAAAGGUCCGGGCUCAACCCUGGACUUGCAGCGCGAACUGGCGUGCUUGAGUGCGCGGGAGGUAGGCGGAAUUCGUCGUGUAGCGGUGAAAUGCUUAGAUAUGACGAAGAACCCCGAUUGCGAAGGCAGCUUGCUGCAGCGGAACUGACGCUGAUGCUCGAAAGCGUGGGUAUCGAACAGGAUUAGAUACCCCGGUAGUC